RNAcentral lists this ribosomal RNA (296 nucleotides) under Priestia megaterium. Its description in RNAcentral is "Bacillus megaterium partial 16S ribosomal RNA". It matches the Rfam family "Bacterial small subunit ribosomal RNA", at positions 92 to 381 of the family's 1533-position model. Lineage: Bacteria; Bacillati; Bacillota; Bacilli; Caryophanales; Bacillaceae. The record is from RNAcentral.
UUAGCGGCGGACGGGUGAGUAACACGUGGGCAACCUGCCUGUAAGACUGGGAUAACUUCGGGAAACCGAAGCUAAUACCGGAUAGGAUCUUCUCCUUCAUGGGAGAUGAUUGAAAGAUGGUUUCGGCUAUCACUUACAGAUGGGCCCGCGGUGCAUUAGCUAGUUGGUGAGGUAACGGCUCACCAAGGCAACGAUGCAUAGCCGACCUGAGAGGGUGAUCGGCCACACUGGGACUGAGACACGGCCCAGACUCCUACGGGAGGCAGCAGUAGGGAAUCUUCCGCAAUGGACGAAAG